GUCUUCUGCUAACUUAGUCUCAGUCAGAGCUUGCAUGGUGAAAGUUUCCUGUAACUGCCAUCAGUUCAGUAAAAUAUUUGCUAAAUGCAAAAAAUGUGGUUGCACUGGGUUUUGUUAAGUUUCUUAAUAAAGGGCAGUGCAUGUUCAGCCUUCAUAGUAACUCAGAUGUGACACAAAUAAUGCAGCAAAUAAUUACAAUGACCUUUUGCUCACCUCAAAUUUAAACAAAGGUUAAGCUGCCCUUUAGAAAAGUAAAUAUUUUCUGUAGUCUAAUAAGUGUAGACACCUUUAGAAACAAGGACGUAUUGCCAAACUAAACUAAAAUGAAAAUUGUUACAAUAGAAUAAUUUCAAAACAGAAAAGAUGCAAAUCUCUGCACCCAGCCAGACAUCCUGGCAUCGCAGGCAGUCCCUUACCUUGCAAAACUCCCAGGCUGAUCUCCAUAUGGUUUCCAAGAACUGUUGCUUGAAAUUUCUGUCCAGCCACAGCAGAUAGGAGAGAGAAAUAUUAAAAAUAAGAAAGUGCAUAAUCUCCUUGCCCCCUUAAAUCUAGUAAACAAUUUAUAUUUGAUUUCAUACAACAGAAUGAAUCCACGGACCUUUAAGUAAUUAAGAAACAGACACUGAGGCUUAAAAAAUAAACUUAAGGGAAAAUCUCACAUAGUGGCCAGGAAAUGGCUCAUAGGUUUUAUUUAGUUCUCAUAGUCCAAGGUUUAGCUGUUAGCUAGAUAAGAGCCAGGUGUGUUUUACACAUCUAAUUUGUUUAGUCUGAAGCUAAUUCAAACAGCGCUCUUUAACUACAAGUCUGCAAGUGACAUUUCAAAUCUAAAUCCAGGAUCAAUUCAUGUCACAUAUAUUGAGGGUCUCUCACUGGGAAGGAGCACUUCUGGGGAAGGACAUUCUCACUUUUUUUCUGGUGUGCUUGUUGUGGUUUUGUUGUUGUUGUUUUGGUGUUUUGUGGUUUGGUUGGUUUGUUUUUUGUGGAUUUUUAUGUAAGUUAUACUAACACUACUUACAAUAAAAUUGGAAAAAGUUCACUAUUACCUAGCACAGUUGAUGGGGCUUUAGUGACCUACAGGACUACAGGAAGGGGCUCUCUGCUUUUCUCCUUUGGCCCAGGCAGCCUAGGAGUUCCUGCUGGAGAGGCAGCUCUGGUGCUGGGCACUGGGGCUCUGCACCCUGCAGAAGUGAGAAGGAUUUGGGCUCCUCCACACCUGCACAGGGAUGAGGCUCCACGGCUACCCGCCUGCAGCCAGAUGGCAAGGCCACAUCUGACAAUAAGGGAAUUGCAAAAUAUUUGGUGGGCAACCACUUUAUGCAUGGAAAAAGAUGAGGAAACUAGUACAGCAAUCUCCCUGAAGAGUCACCUUUGAAAGUGAUGUCUCUUCCUGAUGGACUCUUGACCCACUACUGUCCAGCUGCUGUUCACGUGGAUGCAAAUCCAGCAGCAUCAAUAUUACCAAACCUCAGAAGGAUAAAAACCUUCCUGAGUUGAGAGAUUUUUUUUUUCCAAAAUACAGGAUUUUCACCCCUCUGAACUAUUAAUCUGUUGUUUUGUUUGUUUUAGUGAUUUUUAUUUAUUUUAGUGAUUUUUAUUUAUUUAUUUAUUG
RNAcentral lists this long non-coding RNA (1609 nucleotides) under Anas platyrhynchos platyrhynchos (common mallard). RNAcentral describes it as "lncRNA (ENSAPLG00000016630.1)". The record is from RNAcentral. Lineage: Eukaryota; Metazoa; Chordata; Aves; Anseriformes; Anatidae.